This 91-nucleotide transfer RNA is filed under the name Brevundimonas diminuta. RNAcentral describes it as "tRNA-Asp(atc)". The record is from RNAcentral. Lineage: Bacteria; Pseudomonadati; Pseudomonadota; Alphaproteobacteria; Caulobacterales; Caulobacteraceae.
CGCCCUGCUGGGCGAGGCCUGCGUCCUGGCCGCCAUCGUCGGCUCGGCGCUGAAGUUCGACGGCCGCCUGAUCGUUCAGGCCCAGGGCGAC